AUUCACCAUAUCCCUUCCAAAUCAAGUAGAGUUCAUGUGCGUUUCAAUACAUUUAGCAAACGCAUGCUCCUGUGGUUUGGAGCAACUUGAUUUGGAUGAAUGAAGUCUGUUUAAGAUCUUCAUGUAUAUCUCUGAUCCCAUAGAGAUGUUAUUAUGACCACAUUCAUAGGCUGCAUGUUCAGUUAGUCGGAAACUACCAAACUGACAAAGUAGUGGAGUUCAAUGACAUCCAUUACGAGAGCAUAUCUCAUCGUAGUCGACCCAGUGCGUGUUAGUGAGAGACCUUGCGCCAUAAGGUGAGUCUAAGCUCUUGUUCUCACUACGCUAUCUAACAAAGGUAUAGUUGAUAGGGUUUAGCUUGCGGUGUCGGCAUCACCUGCCCAAGGACCUAUCUCUUUGUUAAUGCUGGAUCGCAUCUUUCCAUUAGGCCAAUCAACUAAGUUGAUAUCCAUCAACGAAGGGUGGUUCGAUAGGUUCGAUAGUAGACUCAUUAUCUCACGUCCUCAUGUACACUAGUGUAAUACUUGUAGAGAUCUCUAUAUGGAUUGGAUUUGACAUUGAGGCGUCCCCCAACGAUAAUCACAAUUUAGACUUCAUGAGACGGAUUUGAGUAUCAUUGAUCAAUGGAUCAGGUUGUGCCAAUCUCGCUUUCUUCCUAGUGCGAGAAUAUAUCGAACCUAAGGGCCUCCCUCCUUUUAGGGAGCCACACGGCCUUGUGACACCAAUUUUGCCACUAUAUGGCGUCACCAUAUCACCAUCCAUGGUGAUUGGUCGCGCCAUGUCCUUUUGUAGGACAUCAAUCCUUGCAGACAUAUUUGCAGCAUGUGAUCUCGUCACUUUAACACUAUAAGCAUUUGGGAUCAAGAUGAGACUUAGUGGGGACAAACCAUGACAAUUCACGUCGUUCCACUUGAACACUUGUGUUCUUAUCUCCCCCUAACGGCGGGAAUAUUGUCUCAUCAAAGUGAUAAUCCGCAAUUUAGCGGUGAAUGAGAUCGCCUGACAAGGUUUCUACAUAUGCGGAUUAUAGGUGGAGGUUCAUAUCCAACCUAAACUUAUUCAUCUCAAAUGACCAAUCAUUGUACGCAAUGGCAAUGCGAUUUGGCAUCUAGAAAUAACAUCUAGCCGAGCUCAAGGAUUGGAGAUCCGUUUCAAUCUUGCCGAGCUCAAGGAUUGCAAUUUCGUGUCAAUCCUGGUACACAGUCACGAGCUGUAGUACAACAAAAUUCAAUGAUGGUGGGUCGUAGAUGAAUAGUAAAGCUGCAUGCAAAUAUUGCAUAGCCCCAAGACGCAAUAGAAAGAGUGGUGUGCAUCAAUAAUGUU
This 1323-nucleotide long non-coding RNA is filed under the name Fragaria vesca (wild strawberry). RNAcentral's name for it is "long non-coding RNA (FVES_LNC005119)". The record is from RNAcentral. Lineage: Eukaryota; Viridiplantae; Streptophyta; Magnoliopsida; Rosales; Rosaceae.